This 484-nucleotide ribosomal RNA is filed under the name uncultured bacterium. Its description in RNAcentral is "partial 16S ribosomal RNA". It matches the Rfam family "Bacterial small subunit ribosomal RNA", at positions 30 to 507 of the family's 1533-position model. The record is from RNAcentral.
AUUGAACGCUGGCGGCAGGCCUAACACAUGCAAGUCGAGCGGAUGAAGGGAGCUUGCUCCUGGAUUCAGCGGCGGACGGGUGAGUAAUUCCUAGGAAUCUGCCUGGUAGUGGGGGAUAACGUCCGGAAACGGGCGCUAAUACCGCAUACGUCCUGAGGGAGAAAGUGGGGGAUCUUCGGACCUCACGCUAUCAGAUGAGCCUAGGUCGGAUUAGCUAGUUGGUGGGGUAAAGGCCUACCAAGGCGACGAUCCGUAACUGGUCUGAGAGGAUGAUCAGUCACACUGGAACUGAGACACGGUCCAGACUCCUACGGGAGGCAGCAGUGGGGAAUAUUGGACAAUGGGCGAAAGCCUGAUCCAGCCAUGCCGCGUGGGUGAAGAAGGUCUUCGGAUUGUAAAGCACUUUAAGUUGGGAGGAAGGGCAGUAAGUUAAUACCUUGCUGUUUUGACGUUACCAACAGAAUAAGCACCGGCUAACUUCGUG